This is a long non-coding RNA of Bombus terrestris (buff-tailed bumblebee), 222 nucleotides long. RefSeq lists it as uncharacterized. The record is from RefSeq and is a predicted model, not a curated record. NCBI's taxonomy places the organism in Eukaryota, Metazoa, Arthropoda, Insecta, Hymenoptera, Apidae. The transcript is spliced from 2 exons.
AUUGUUUGAUUGCAAGAAAAACUUCGAGGUAUUAGAGGAACUCCAUGAAACUCAAAAGGACGCCAUGAUUGAUAAUGAAUUCGAUAGCUUCUUAUGGAGAAUUGAUUUCUUCCAGUCCUCGCCUCUUGCGUGGGAUUCGGUGAUUGCUAUUUACUGACGGUCUUCAUAAUAACUUCUCCUGAACCACAACAACAUCGAUGAUAACGUUCUUCGCGUUUAAUG